RNAcentral lists this non-coding RNA (50 nucleotides) under unclassified sequences. RNAcentral's name for it is "eL15-Euryarchaeota ribosomal protein leader". It matches the Rfam family "eL15-Euryarchaeota ribosomal protein leader". The record is from RNAcentral.
ACGGGAUCCGUCCCGGAGAGGAAUGUGGUCCUUCUGGACUGAACCUAGGU